CCUUCCGUAGGGGUGACUGCGGAAGGAUCAUUAACGCG
RNAcentral lists this ribosomal RNA (38 nucleotides) under Trichophyton interdigitale. Its description in RNAcentral is "partial 18S ribosomal RNA". Lineage: Eukaryota; Fungi; Ascomycota; Eurotiomycetes; Onygenales; Arthrodermataceae. The record is from RNAcentral.